This 549-nucleotide ribosomal RNA is filed under the name uncultured bacterium. Its description in RNAcentral is "bacterial SSU rRNA". It matches the Rfam family "Bacterial small subunit ribosomal RNA", at positions 354 to 895 of the family's 1533-position model. The record is from RNAcentral.
GUGGGGAAUUUUGGACAAUGGGCGCAAGCCUGAUCCAGCCAUGCCGCGUGUCUGAAGAAGGCCUUCGGGUUGUAAAGGACUUUUGUCAGGGAAGAAAAGGCUGUUGCUAAUAUCGACAGCUGAUGACGGUACCUGAAGAAUAAGCACCGGCUAACUACGUGCCAGCAGCCGCGGUAAUACGUAGGGUGCGAGCGUUAAUCGGAAUUACUGGGCGUAAAGCGAGCGCAGACGGUUACUUAAGCAGGAUGUGAAAUCCCCGGGCUCAACCUGGGAACUGCGUUCUGAACUGGGUGACUAGAGUGUGUCAGAGGGAGGUAGAAUUCCACGUGUAGCAGUGAAAUGCGUAGAGAUGUGGAGGAAUACCGAUGGCGAAGGCAGCCUCCUGGGAUAACACUGACGUUCAUGCUCGAAAGCGUGGGUAGCAAACAGGAUUAGAUACCCUGGUAGUCCACGCCCUAAACGAUGUCAAUUAGCUGUUGGGCAACUUGAUUGCUUAGUAGCGUAGCUNACGCGUGAAAUUGACCGCCUGGGGAGUACGGUCGCAAGAUU